This 143-nucleotide ribosomal RNA is filed under the name Porodaedalea pini. RNAcentral describes it as "5.8S ribosomal RNA". It matches the Rfam family "5.8S ribosomal RNA". From Rfam's summary of the family: 5.8S ribosomal RNA (5.8S rRNA) is a component of the large subunit of the eukaryotic ribosome. It is transcribed by RNA polymerase I as part of the 45S precursor that also contains 18S and 28S rRNA. The record is from RNAcentral. RNAcentral also lists the same sequence under 1 other name. Lineage: Eukaryota; Fungi; Basidiomycota; Agaricomycetes; Hymenochaetales; Hymenochaetaceae.
AACUUUCAACAACGGAUCUCUUGGCUCUCGCAUCGAUGAAGAACGCAGCGAAAUGCGAUAAGUAAUGUGAAUUGCAGAAUUCAGUGAAUCAUCGAAUCUUUGAACGCACCUUGCGCCCCUUGGUAUUCCGAGGGGCAUGCCUG